RNAcentral lists this ribosomal RNA (388 nucleotides) under Dictyocha sp. RNAcentral describes it as "partial small subunit ribosomal RNA". It matches the Rfam family "Eukaryotic small subunit ribosomal RNA", at positions 582 to 975 of the family's 1831-position model. Lineage: Eukaryota; Dictyochophyceae; Dictyochales; Dictyochaceae. The record is from RNAcentral.
AUUCCAGCUCCAAUAGCGUAUAUUAAAGUUGCUGCGGUUAAAAAGCUCGUAGUCGGAUUUCAGUCUAGGAAGGUUCACUCGCCGAAAGGUUGUACGUUGAUUUUCCUCAGACUUCGUCAGAACCUCGUGCUGCACUUAACUGUGUGGUACGAUGUUCUGACCUUUUACCUUGAGGGAAGUCGAGUGUUUCAGGCAGGCUACCCAGCUUGAAUACAUUAGCAUGGAAUAAUAAGAUAGGACUUUGGUGGUUUAUUUUGUUGGUUUGCACGCCGAAGUAAUGAUUAAUAGGAGCAGUUGGGGAUGUCCGUAUUCGAUUGUCAGAGGUGAAAUUCUUGGAUUUAUUGAAGACGAACUACUGCGAAAGCAUUCAUCAAGGAUGUUUUCAUCA